GGGGUAUAGCUCAGUUGGGAGAGCACCUGCCUUGCAAGCAGGGGGUCAAGGGUUCGAAUCCCUUUAUCUCCA
Molecule: transfer RNA, 72 nt
Filed under: [Bacteroides] pectinophilus
Lineage: Bacteria; Bacillati; Bacillota; Clostridia; Eubacteriales
Description: tRNA-Ala
Rfam family: tRNA
About the family: Transfer RNA (tRNA) molecules are approximately 80 nucleotides in length. Their secondary structure includes four short double-helical elements and three loops (D, anti-codon, and T loops).
Source: RNAcentral